CAAAUAUCAUAAUUCUUUCCAUCUAGCUUAUCACCCCUGGUGACAUCAGCUAUGAUGGUUUUGGAAGUUAUUUCACUACAUUAAAAAAAAUAGGUUUGGACAUUAGACACAUAUUCCCAAAAAAAUUUAACAAGAUUGAAACAUUAUCCUCGACACAAAGGGAUCGAAAACUUCGCUAUGCUCGUAAUCAUCACCCAGUGUCAGUUCAAAAUAUUACAAUCUUAUUAAUUUUCUAUUAAUUUUGAAACUUAUCCAAAAAUUCUUCCAUUGUGAAAGAACACAUCUUUUUCUUGAAAAAUAUUUACAUAAAGAGAACUUAUCUCAUAAUAUCAUCACACAGAUAAAAAAAAAAGUAUUUAUGCCAAAAUUUAAUUUGAAAAACGUCGACGCUGCACAAAAACACAUUCUUUUACAUGGCCUUAAUUAAUACAUCACCAUUUGCGGAAUUAAAACCUACUACAUCACUACAAGAUGUACAUCAUAAGAGAAAUGAUCUACAGGAAUGCUGCACACAUCGAACCUGUUUUUCCAAAAUUAAAUUUUGUUAUAAAAUACCGAAAUAACAUAAGCACUUAUAUGCCAAAAAAAUAUACAAUCACAU
This 601-nucleotide long non-coding RNA is filed under the name Ananas comosus (pineapple). Its description in RNAcentral is "long non-coding RNA (ACOM_LNC038686)". The record is from RNAcentral. Lineage: Eukaryota; Viridiplantae; Streptophyta; Magnoliopsida; Poales; Bromeliaceae.